Non-coding RNA from Caenorhabditis elegans, 21 nucleotides. Lineage: Eukaryota; Metazoa; Nematoda; Chromadorea; Rhabditida; Rhabditidae. The record is from Ensembl.
UUGUUAAUUUUUGGCAAUGGG